GCCGGAGUGGCGGAAUUGGCAGACGCGCUUGGUUUAGGACCAAGUAUCGUAAGAUGUGGAGGUUCGAGUCCUCUCUCCGGCACCA
This 85-nucleotide transfer RNA is filed under the name candidate division WWE3 bacterium. Its description in RNAcentral is "tRNA-Leu". It matches the Rfam family "tRNA". Rfam says of the family: Transfer RNA (tRNA) molecules are approximately 80 nucleotides in length. Their secondary structure includes four short double-helical elements and three loops (D, anti-codon, and T loops). Further hydrogen bonds mediate the characteristic L-shaped molecular structure. tRNAs have two regions of fundamental functional importance: the anti-codon, which is responsible for specific mRNA codon recognition, and the 3' end, to which the tRNAs corresponding amino acid is attached (by aminoacyl-tRNA synthetases). tRNAs cope with the degeneracy of the genetic code in two manners: having more than one tRNA (with a specific anti-codon) for a particular amino acid; and 'wobble' base-pairing, i.e. permitting non-standard base-pairing at the 3rd anti-codon position. Lineage: Bacteria; candidate division WWE3. The record is from RNAcentral.